Molecule: ribosomal RNA, 804 nt
Filed under: uncultured bacterium
Lineage: Bacteria
Description: bacterial SSU rRNA
Rfam family: Bacterial small subunit ribosomal RNA
Source: RNAcentral
AGAGUUUGAUCCUGGCUCAGGAUGAACCUUGGCGGCGUGCUUAACACAUGCAAGUCGAACGAAGCGCCUUGCCGGAACCCCUUCGGGGAGGAAGGCAUUGCUACUGAGUGGCGGACGGGUGAGUAACGCGUGGGCAACCUGCCCCAUACAGGGGGAUAACAGUUAGAAAUGACUGCUAACACCGCAUAAGCGCACAGGGCCGCAUGGCCCGGUGUGAAAAACUCCGGUGGUAUGGGAUGGGCCCGCGUCUGAUUAGCCAGUUGGCGGGGUAACGGCCCACCAAAGCGACGAUCAGUAGCCGACCUGAGAGGGUGACCGGCCACAUUGGGACUGAGACACGGCCCAAACUCCUACGGGAGGCAGCAGUGGGGAAUAUUGCACAAUGGGGGAAACCCUGAUGCAGCGACGCCGCGUGAGCGAAGAAGUAUCUCGGUAUGUAAAGCUCUAUCAGCAGGGAAGAAAAAUGACGGUACCUGACUAAGAAGCCCCGGCUAACUACGUGCCAGCAGCCGCGGUAAUACGUAGGGGGCAAGCGUUAUCCGGAUUUACUGGGUGUAAAGGGAGCGCAGGCGGCGCGGCAAGUCUGAUGUGAAAGCCCGGGGCUCAACCCCGGGACUGCAUUGGAAACUGUCGCGCUCGAGUGUCGGAGAGGUAAGUGGAAUUCCUAGUGUAGCGGUGAAAUGCGUAGAUAUUAGGAGGAACACCAGUGGCGAAGGCGGCUUACUGGACGACAACUGACGCUGAGGCUCGAAAGCGUGGGGAGCAAACAGGAUUAGAUACCCUGGUAGUCCACGCCGUAAACGA